GAUGAACGCUGGCGGCGUGCCUAAUACAUGCAAGUCGAGCGAACAGACGAGGAGCUUGCUCCUCUGACGUUAGCGGCGGACGGGUGAGUAACACGUGGAUAACCUACCUAUAAGACUGGGAUAACUUCGGGAAACCGGAGCUAAUACCGGAUAAUAUAUUGAACCGCAUGGUUCAAUAGUGAAAGUCGGUUUUGCUGUCACUUAUAGAUGGAUCCGCGCCGCAUUAGCUAGUUGGUAAGGUAACGGCUUACCAAGGCAACGAUGCGUAGCCGACCUGAGAGGGUGGUCGGCCACACUGGAACUGAGACACGGUCCAGACUCCUACGGUAGGCAGCAGUAGGGAAUCUUCCGCAAUGGGCGAAAGCCUGACGGAGCAACGCCGCGUGAGUGAUGAAGGUGUUCGGAUCGGAAAACUCUGUUAUUAGGGAAGAACAAAUGUGUAAGUAACUAUGCACGUCUUGACGGUACCUAAUCAGAAAGCCACGGCUAACUACGUG
RNAcentral lists this ribosomal RNA (497 nucleotides) under uncultured bacterium. RNAcentral describes it as "partial 16S ribosomal RNA". It matches the Rfam family "Bacterial small subunit ribosomal RNA", at positions 28 to 507 of the family's 1533-position model. The record is from RNAcentral.